GUCUACGGCCAUACCACCCUGAACGCGCCCGAUCUCGUCUGAUCUCGGAAGCUAAGCAGGGUCGGGCCUGGUUAGUACUUGGAUGGAGAUCUUUACCUGGAAACCUCAAUGCUUUUUUUU
Ochotona princeps (American pika) is the source of this 120-nucleotide ribosomal RNA. The record is from Ensembl. Lineage: Eukaryota; Metazoa; Chordata; Mammalia; Lagomorpha; Ochotonidae.